This is a long non-coding RNA of Homo sapiens (human), 676 nucleotides long. RefSeq lists it as uncharacterized. The record is from RefSeq and is a predicted model, not a curated record. The transcript has 3 exons. NCBI's taxonomy places the organism in Eukaryota, Metazoa, Chordata, Mammalia, Primates, Hominidae.
CUUUCUUUCUUUCUAUUUUUUUUUUCUUUUUACAGAGUCUCCCUCUGUCCCCCAGAAUGGAACAGUCAUGGAUCCUGACUCACUGCCACCUUGACUUCCGGGACUCAAGGAAUCCCCCCACCUCUGCCUCCUAAAGUGCUGGGAUUACAGGCCAGGCAUGAGCCACCAGCUGGGCUAGAAUUUACAUUUUUAACAGGUUCCCAAAUGCAAGUUGAUGCUGCUGGUCUAGGGACGCAUCUUGUGAAUCUGUACAGUGAUAAACCUGCACUUGAGAAGCCCCCAAAUGAGUGCUGCAGACCAGGUUCUGAAUGUGACUCGGUGACAGCUUGAGGUCUUCUCAACAUCACCAGGACAGGACCUGGGCUUGAGGACCAUCUGUCAUCUCACUCUGGAUCACCUCCCUUCCCUCCAUGACUCAGGGAGAAAGAACCCAGGCCUUCAACUCCUAGCUACGGCCCCUUCCUGGAAAAAUAUCUGUUAGAUUAAAAGUUCACAUACCAGCUUAGCUACUUACCUGGUAUGGAACCCUAGACAAGCUACUUAACUUCUCUGUGCCUCAGUUUCCUCAUCUAACAAAUGGAGAUAACAUUAUCUUCCUCAUAUUUAUUAUAAGAAUUCAGCGCAAACACACGUAAAGAGAUUGGAAGAGUGCCAGUCACAUAAUAAACAUUCAGAA